This 253-nucleotide ribosomal RNA is filed under the name uncultured bacterium. RNAcentral describes it as "partial 16S ribosomal RNA". It matches the Rfam family "Bacterial small subunit ribosomal RNA", at positions 524 to 776 of the family's 1533-position model. The record is from RNAcentral. RNAcentral also lists the same sequence under 1 other name.
AACGUAGGAGGCAAGCGUUAUCCGGAGUAACUGGGCGUAAAGGGCGAGUAGGUGGUUUAAUAAGUUGGUUAUGAAAGCUCCUGGCUAAACUGGGAGAGGCUGACCAAGACUGUUAGACUUGAGUGGAGAAGAGGUCAACGGAAUUCCGCGUGUAGUGGUGAAAUGCGUAGAGAUGCGGAAGAACACCAGUGGCGAAGGCGGUUGACUGGUCUCCAACUGACACUGAACCGCGAAAGCAUGGGUAGCGAACGGG